UACGCGCCCUCAGCAAGAGCCAGCGAGGCUCAGCCGAAGAGGACGGGCAGAAAAGCUUCCUUUUACAGUAGGUCAGUUGGAAAGGGACCGUUCAAGGUCCUCAACAGCUGAGCUGGGCGGGAGGCUUGCCUUUGUACCUUUGGAAUGAAGUUACUUCAUUAGUUCUGCAAAGGUUCACUUAUUAGUUCCUCCAUUCCUGGUGGCCCUUCCAGCUCUAGACAAGGGUCCUCGCCAGUAAGGGCACUGUGGGCAACGAAAGCCACAGACAAAAAUACUCUUUGCACCUGAAACUGUAAGAAAAGUCAACAUUUUGGAAAUGGUCUGGAACUCGGUCAGAGGUGCCCGGACUCAGACCCAUGUGACUGGUUUAAACUCGAGAGGCAAUGUGGCAAUCCUCAGGCAGACCCUUAUUCGCACCUGCAUCAACUCAUGACGGGGAGCAGCCAACCUUGUUCUACACGGUGCUGUGCAAAAAGGCCGCCACUACCUACAGGGGCAUUACUCAGAGGGCAUCACUCUUACUGAAAGAAGUUAACGGCCAUGGGCAGACAAACAACACACAAGUCAAACAAGAAGAAGUCCCCUAUGAAUCUGUGGACAUUUAAGACCUGUUCAAGAGCUCCGAUUGCUAUAGCCGCCCCUGCCCACCACCAAGAAAAGAAAAUGCUCAGCAUUCUUCACCUAUAUUUAUACUGCCUGUUGGGUCCAAUCUGACCAUUUUUAGUACUAUAUCAGCUGUGUUAACUCAAUUCUUUUCAAAUCACUUCACUCUAUAGUAUGUUGAAUCAGCCAAUGCUACUGGGUGUGACUGUGCUAUGUUUACUUAGUUUCUACAAACUAAACUUUUUGGCAAGAAUAUGACAUCCACCAUAACACUGGAACUAUGGGGUUCCACAUUAUUUAUUCAUUAAGGAAAUACAAAGGAUCCCAAUGUCUUAUGAUUGAAAACAAACAAGUCCCCAGGAAAAAAAAACAUCUUUUACUGCCCUCCUCCAUAUGUUUAGCCCCCUGGGUAUAAUGUAGACCAAUACUCUAUAAAACCCAUCUAAAAUAACAGGAGUUACGGUCUCCGAAACCUACAGGGAGAAUCAGGCUAGAGUUUAAGACAAUAGAACAGGGCAAAGCCGGAGCUUGUGACUGAAGGUCCUGUUUGAAGUCAUCUCAAAAAGACAAAACAAAAAACCAAAACAAAAUACUGCUAGGCCAAACAUGCACAUGGGGGUGUGGUCUUGAAUCUUAGAUCCAUGGCUCAAAUCAGAAGAAGAUUCAGAUGAGGAUGUAUUCCUUCCUCUAAAUGGAAGACAUUCUUGUUGGUUAAAUCAGAGCAUUCAUUUUUUUUCUUGAAGAUGUAUUUGAGGAAAUACACUUGAUAUUGUUUAGAAUGUAAGACAAAUCAGGUUUCAAGCAAAGCUUGAACUUUCUGAAUAUCAGUAAAAAGCAACCUUGCUCUAAGAAAGAAUAAUAAUACCUACAAUUGAUGGACUGCUUAGUAUGUGUGCCAGGUACCAUUCUAAGCACUUUGCAUAGAUGAACACAUUUCUACGGCUCACAACAACUCUACAGUCUAAGUACUAUUAUUACCUCCAUUUCACAGAUGGAAAACUAAGCAGACAUAGAAUGGCUAAGUAACCUGAGCACAGACACACAGCUAGUGAACAAUGAGGCUGCUAUUCAAACCUAAGCCAUCUUUCCUCUGGGCCUGCACUCACACACGGCUGUGCCUCUUAGCUAAAAGCACUAUCCAUGUACUCCCUGGGAAAGGACCAUCAAGGGAAGGGAAACACUUUCAUUCAUUAGCAAGACUGAAUCAAUUUGGGGGGAGGAAGGGAAGAAUGCCUUACAUUUAUUCCAUACAAAAUAAAUAGAAAUUUAUCACCAAAAUCACUACAUAAAUGACAACUUGCUCAGGACUAAGCAAGAAAAGGCUUUUAGACAAUCUGUAACUGAAUAAAAUUCUUGGUAAUAAUAAUUAAUAGAUAUCAAAUCAAAUCAGUAAAAAUUUGAUACAACAACUA
Long non-coding RNA from Neogale vison (American mink), 2015 nucleotides. RefSeq lists it as uncharacterized. Lineage: Eukaryota; Metazoa; Chordata; Mammalia; Carnivora; Mustelidae. The transcript is spliced from 4 exons. The record is from RefSeq and is a predicted model, not a curated record.